UACGAAGGGGGCUAGCGCUGCUCGGAAUCACUGGGCGUAAAGGGUGCGUAGGCGGGUCUUUAAGUCAGGGGGGAAAUCCUGGAGCUCAACUCCAGAACUGCCUUUGAUACUGAAGAUCUUGAGUUCGGGAGGGGUGAGUGGAACUGCGAGUGUAGAGGUGAAAUUCGUAGAUAUUCGCAAGAACACCAGUGGCGAAGGCGGCUCACUGGCCCGAUACUGACGCUGAGGCACGAAAGCGUGGGGAGCAAACAGG
This 253-nucleotide ribosomal RNA is filed under the name uncultured bacterium. RNAcentral describes it as "partial 16S ribosomal RNA". It matches the Rfam family "Bacterial small subunit ribosomal RNA", at positions 524 to 776 of the family's 1533-position model. The record is from RNAcentral.